GGGAAUGUGGCUUAGUGGUAAAGUGCUUGCCUAGCAUGCAUGAAGCCCUAGGUUCGAUUCCUUAGUACUA
Molecule: non-coding RNA, 70 nt
Organism: Dipodomys ordii (Ord's kangaroo rat)
Lineage: Eukaryota; Metazoa; Chordata; Mammalia; Rodentia; Heteromyidae
Source: Rfam